GUGUCAGCCGCCGCGGUAAGACAGAGGGUGCAAACGUUGCUCGGAAUCACUGGGCAUAAAGCGCACGUAGGCGGUCGUGAAAGUGUGGAGUGAAAUCCCCCGGCCCAACCGGGGAACUGCUUCGCAUACUGCACGGCUAGAGCUUGGGAGGGGAGAGUGGAACUCCUGGUGGAGCGGUGGAAUGCGUAGAUAUCAGGAGGAACGCCGGAGGUGAAGACGACUCUCUGGCCCAAUGCUGACGCUAAGGUGCGAAAGCUAGGGGAGCAAACGGGAUUAGAAACCCUUGUAGUCC
This 292-nucleotide ribosomal RNA is filed under the name uncultured bacterium. RNAcentral describes it as "partial 16S ribosomal RNA". It matches the Rfam family "Bacterial small subunit ribosomal RNA", at positions 505 to 796 of the family's 1533-position model. The record is from RNAcentral.